RNAcentral lists this long non-coding RNA (1081 nucleotides) under Heterocephalus glaber (naked mole-rat). RNAcentral's name for it is "lncRNA (ENSHGLG00100050356.1)". Lineage: Eukaryota; Metazoa; Chordata; Mammalia; Rodentia; Bathyergidae. The record is from RNAcentral.
CAGCCAAUAAGCUUGUAGCCUGGAUUGAAUAAAAAGGGAAAGAAGCAGGAAGCAUGCCUGUUUUGAAGCACUACGGUCUUCCUAGUGGGUAUGUCCUUUGCUGUUUGGGGCCUCUGGUGGGUUCACAUAGGUGAAUCACAUCAGAGACCCUCACAGAUUUGGAGCAGGGCUCUGGUAUCAUCCAUAGACUGUCACACUUCCUUUAAGAAACAGCUCCUGGUCUGCUGCUGGCCCUUAGUGGAAACUGAAUGCUUGACCAUGGGAUGCCAUGUGACUGACCUGAGCUGCCCAUCAUGAGCUGGGUGCUCUGUGGCCCACCAGAUCAUAAAGUUGGAUGUCUACAGCAACAGCCCAUCAUUAAAUGGAAGUGGUAUAUAUGUGAUCGGGGUGAGCAGAUCAAGAAGGUAUAAGGUUAUGGCUUCUAACAGAAAAUGUGAACAGAAUUUUGGGAAGAUAGGCCAUUCCCUGUGAGAUGGAUGGGCUCUGACACAGACUCCUCACAGCUAAAAAGAAUUACAACAGGAUUACAGUUGCUGCCCCACAUGGAGAAUAGUAUAACUGACCUUGUUGGUGUUCAACAACUGAGGCUUGGAGACCAAAGCUAAGGGAGGUAAAAGGACAAAGAGGUCAGCCAAUAAUUUGGUCCUCCAAGGUCAUAACAGGUCCCCUCUGCCAGGCCCCUGAACCUGCAGUGAGUAACCCAACCUCCUGAGCAGGGGGAUUGUUGGGCUCCAGAGGACAGAAACGCUACGGUGUGCAUUGUGCUAAAGGAGGGUCACAACAGAGGGGAGUGUCCCCAUGCUUCCAAGGAAGCGAUAUGGUCACACAAGACCACAAUCCAUCUGGGCAGUUGACACAACCAGUAAGGAUCUGAGGGAACCAAAAGGCUCUGGUCUUCACAUGUCCCCAAAAGUAACCCCUGAGAAGCCUUGAGUGACCUUAACAGCAAAGGGAAGCUAGUUUGGUAGCAUACUCGGUCUCAAGCAAUCAAUGGGAAAGUAUAACCAGAGAGUGAAUUAGUUAUUAACAUUUUUAAAAAUUAGAGAGCUGGGGAUAUACCCAGUGAUGCCCAGCCUAUCUG